This is a long non-coding RNA of Ipomoea triloba (trilobed morning glory), 665 nucleotides long. RefSeq lists it as uncharacterized. Lineage: Eukaryota; Viridiplantae; Streptophyta; Magnoliopsida; Solanales; Convolvulaceae. The transcript is spliced from 2 exons. The record is from RefSeq and is a predicted model, not a curated record.
ACAGAUCAGGAGCUGCACUGCACGUUCCAAGAAAGCAAUGCAAUAGGAUUAUAAUAUAUAUAGUUUGCUGCGCGCCGUUCUAAACCAUCCAUGUCUAGCUGCAGCGCAGCUCUGAGGAGGUUUGGCCUGGCAGGGUUGUGUGUGUGUUGGUCUUCCGGCAUAGGUGCCACGUGGAGGCCAGGCACAAGCCCAGUGUCCUUAGCCCAAGUGCUUGGUGGCUAUGGGCCACGAGAGGAGAGGCGUUCCAAGGCAAGUUGUUCGGGCCGACCAGCCCUGAGUGGUUCCUGCGAGCCUUGCCCUGCAGGUUCCAUAGGAAAGGCGGUCGGGAGGCGGAAGGUCGGAUAGUCCGGUUGACGCGUCGCUCAGUUAGUACGCAACACAGAGAUCGAUCGUCAUACAAUCGCGACACCCAAGCAAUAAAUCCCUAUCAAUGAAGUUCUCACGUGCACCCAUGAUUUUCACAUGAACGCAAACACACACACACGCGCGCGCACACACACACACACACAUAUAUAUAUAUUGGACACGCUUAAAUGAGAACGGUUUUCUGGGAGAAACAUCAGAACCACUCACAAUCAUCCACGUGUCCAGAUUCAAUGAAUUAGAUGUAAUUUAAAAAAAAUGUUGUGGUGACAUUUUCAUAAAUAACUCAAACUUUGGUGCAA